GUGCACACUUUGGCAGCAUUUAUACUAAAAUUGGAACUACACAGGGAAGAUCAGAAUGGCUCCUGUUUAAGGCUGGCAAAAACAAAAACAAAAAAAAAAAAACAAAA
This is a small nuclear RNA of Apodemus sylvaticus (European woodmouse), 107 nucleotides long. NCBI's taxonomy places the organism in Eukaryota, Metazoa, Chordata, Mammalia, Rodentia, Muridae. The record is from RefSeq and is a predicted model, not a curated record.